RNAcentral lists this long non-coding RNA (636 nucleotides) under Anas platyrhynchos platyrhynchos (common mallard). RNAcentral's name for it is "lncRNA (ENSAPLG00000017070.1)". The record is from RNAcentral. Lineage: Eukaryota; Metazoa; Chordata; Aves; Anseriformes; Anatidae.
AUGUGUGGGACAGAAGGAUGCACCAGGGAAGCAAGCAGAUCUGGAGCUCAAGCAAGACGCAGCGAUAGCAGAAACAGUAAAGAAAACAAGGAUGCGAUCCAGAGCCUAACCGAAGUAAGGGGUACGCUUGUGUGGACUUCAGCUCCAACCGAGUCAGACUCAAGAUUAACAACUAUACUGUGCCAUCCCAUGAGAUUCCCAGCACUUUCAUUUUCUCAAAGACCAAGGAGCUGUCUUUGUGUCAUUCAAAUCGCCUUGAAGCAACUUCCUUCUGUGCAAAACUUUCCCGGUAAAACAGUUUUCUUCUCUGGUGUGAUGUCCUAUUUCUUCGGUUUUCUCGCAUGCUUGUCUGGUGAAUGAGAUGUGACAGUAGUUGUUCCAUUUCAGUGUUUUGAGGCAUAAAUCUUUAUCUUGCAUCUUGGCGUCAUGAUAGAUAUAGUUAUGUUUCUCUGCUCCUAUUUUUUUUUCUUUGAUUUUCUACAAAAGCAACUCACAGUGUCAAAUCACAAUGAAAAUGAACACGUUGUCCAUAAGGAAAUAUUAUUCUAAGAUAGAAUCUAUGCCCAUUACAAUCAAAGGAAAUCUGUAGCAUGGUAUAUUGGCAUGAAAAAAGAUCCAAAGAUUUUUAUGAUUUAU